Molecule: RNA transcript, 1623 nt
Organism: Momordica charantia (bitter melon)
Lineage: Eukaryota; Viridiplantae; Streptophyta; Magnoliopsida; Cucurbitales; Cucurbitaceae
Gene: LPPGAMMA
Gene name: Phosphatidic acid phosphatase (PAP2) family protein
Source: RefSeq, a predicted model, not a curated record
UAUUAAAUAUCGUCUUCUUUUUGGCGGAGUCUCUCGUCUCUUCGGUGUUAAGAUUUCUGAAGAAACCGCAAGCAUUUCUUGCUCGUCCACGGCUUCAAAUUUCCAUCGCAAAUUUGUACUUUGAUUAUCUUUGUCGCGAAUAAAAAUUAUAGUUUCUCUUCACCAAAUCAAUCCGAUUUCCCUUGAUCUCACGCAUCCAAAUUCGUUUCGUCUCAGAUCUGUUUGUUGUUGAUCACUCCAUCCAGUUCCCUCGGAGAAUUUUAUUGAUUUGUGAUCCGCUAAGCGCUGAUUUCAACCGAAAAUUCUCCCUCUUCCGUUUCCAUGGCGGCGGCACCACUCAAGGCGGUGUCCUUAACCCAUGUCCGAUACCAGAGGGGAGAUCAGCUCGGCCAUUUCUUGGCCUGGGUUUCUUUGGUUCCCGUCUUCAUUAGCCUCGGCGGAUUUCUCUCUCACUUCAUCUUCCGCCGCGAACUUCAGGGCAUGUUCUUCGCGCUAGGGCUCGUAAUCUCCCAAUUCAUAAACGAGUUCAUCAAGACGUCUGUCCAGCAAGCGCGCCCCGAGACGUGUGUUCUGUUGGAAAUGUGCGAUUCGCAUGGUUGGCCCUCUAGCCAUUCUCAGUAUAUGUUCUUCUUCGCCGUAUACUUCACUCUUUUGACGUAUAAAGGGAUUGGGCUAUGGGGUCCAGAAGCCAAGUGGGUAAUGGAGAUCGUGGCUUGGUCUCUGGCUUUACUGACGAUGUAUUCGAGGGUGUAUUUGGGAUACCAUACUGUUGCACAGGUUUUUGCUGGAGCUACACUCGGUAUGUUUCUUGGAGCUUUAUGGUUCUGGGUCGUCAAUUAUGUGCUUUUCUGCUACUUCCCGGCUAUAGAAGAGAGUCGGUUUGGCAGGAUGUUCUACAUUAAGGACACUUCUCAUAUAAGCAAUGUUUUGAAGUUUGAGUAUGAUAAUGCAAGAGCUGCUAGAGAAAAGUUGGAUUGUAAGUGCGAUUGAUCGACUGGGAUCUGAUACAUGAGAAGCUAUCUUCUGGAAGGAUAAGAGAUCGCAUGCCCUUAAUUUUUUUGUCAUCCUGGAGUCAAGUGAGGACUUACAAAUAUUUGAAGCUUGAAAUUGGGUAGAAAUUGAUGUCAAUCCACCUGUGACUCAGUCUUACUACGUAGGAAGAAGAAAGAUAUUAGAAGAAUAAAUUUCUCAAGUAUUGAGUUUUGGCGAAGUACACUUAUUUCAAACCCAUGUCUCAUAUUUGGUGGGAAUGGAAUACGUUGUCCACUGCUGUCAAAGGAGAACCAAGCUGAAUGCUGUUGAAAAUGGCCUUGCCCACCUGGUUAGGGAAAAAACACUGCAAAGAAACCAGCUUGCAAAGGGAUCAGUUCUCUAUUGUAGAUUUGCAUACUGAAGAGAGCUUACUUGCUGCUGAUAUUCACUGCCCAUAUACAGCCUUAAUAGGUAGAAACUUGAUUAUCAAAUACUUUGAUAUAUAAACCUAGUUUAAAAUGGUCUCAUUUGGAUAGGGAACUCUCUCUACUUAAAUAGAUCUAAUUUAAUUUCUUCUUUGAUUGGAUUAUAUGGCAUGUGAAAUUGGAAUUUACUAGCUGGAUUGAAUGUUCUACAAGUCUUUGUUUCUUA